AUGGGAACGCGAAGAACCUUACCUAGACUUGACAUCUUCUGCAUUAAUCGUAAUGGAUGAAAUCCCUUCGGGGCAGGAAGACAGGUGGUGCAUGGUUGUCGUCAGCUCGUGUCGUGAGAUGUUGGGUUAAGUCCCGCAACGAGCGCAACCCUUAUUACUAGUUGCUACCAUUAAGUUGAGCACUCUAGUGAGACUGCCCGGGUUAACCGGGAGGAAGGCGGGGAUGACGUCAAAUCAUCAUGCCCCUUAUGUCUAGGGCAACACACGUGCUACAAUGGUGAGUACAGAUAGAUGCGAUACCGCAAGGUGGAGCCAAACUCUAAAACUCAUCCCAGUUCGGAUUGUAGGCUGCAACUCGCCUACAUGAAGUUGGAGUUGCUAGUAAUCGCGAAUCAGAAUGUCGCGGUGAAUACGUUCCCGGGUCUUGUACACACCG
Molecule: ribosomal RNA, 436 nt
Filed under: uncultured bacterium
Lineage: Bacteria
Description: bacterial SSU rRNA
Rfam family: Bacterial small subunit ribosomal RNA
Source: RNAcentral